GUAAGUUUUCGGUAAAAUCUGUAGGCUCAACAUACAGGAUGCCGGGAAUACUGCAGAGCUAGGGAGUGGGAGAGGUAGACGGUACUCGGUAGGAAGGGGUAAAAUCCUUUGAUCUAUUGAUGACCACCUGUGGCGAAGGCGGUCUACCAGAACACGUCCGACGGUGAGGGAUGAAAGCUGGGGGAGCAAACCGGAUUAGAUACCCGGGUAGUCCCAGCUGUAAACUAUGCAAACUCAGUGAUGCAUUGACUUGUGGUCAAUGCAGUGCUGCAGGGAAACCGUUAAGUUUGCCGCCUGGGAAGUACGUAAGCAAGUAUGAAACUUAAAGGAAUUGGCGGGGGAGCACCACAAGGGGUGAAGCGUGCGGUUC
RNAcentral lists this ribosomal RNA (370 nucleotides) under uncultured Nitrososphaerota archaeon. Its description in RNAcentral is "bacterial SSU rRNA". It matches the Rfam family "Archaeal small subunit ribosomal RNA", at positions 533 to 903 of the family's 1478-position model. The record is from RNAcentral. Lineage: Archaea; Thermoproteati; Nitrososphaerota.